RNAcentral lists this ribosomal RNA (343 nucleotides) under uncultured Spongiobacter sp. Its description in RNAcentral is "bacterial SSU rRNA". It matches the Rfam family "Bacterial small subunit ribosomal RNA", at positions 1 to 348 of the family's 1533-position model. The record is from RNAcentral. Lineage: Bacteria; Pseudomonadati; Pseudomonadota; Gammaproteobacteria.
UAGAGUUUGAUCCUGGCUCAGAUUGAACGCUGGCGGCAGGCCUAACACAUGCAAGUCGAGCGGUAGCGGGAAGAGCUUGCUCUUUGCCGACGAGCGGCGGACGGGUGCGUAACACGUAGGAAUCUGCCCGGUAGUGGGGGAUAGCCCGGAGAAAUCCGGAUUAAUACCGCAUACGCCCUAAGGGGGAAAGCAGGGGAUCUUCGGACCUUGCGCUAUCGGAUGAGCCUGCGUCGGAUUAGCUUGUUGGUGGGGUAAAGGCCUACCAAGGCGACGAUCCGUAGCUGGUCUGAGAGGAUGAUCAGCCACACUGGGACUGAGACACGGCCCAGACUCCUACGGGAGG